RNAcentral lists this long non-coding RNA (325 nucleotides) under Numida meleagris (helmeted guineafowl). RNAcentral describes it as "lncRNA (ENSNMEG00000002765.1)". The record is from RNAcentral. Lineage: Eukaryota; Metazoa; Chordata; Aves; Galliformes; Numididae.
GGGAGCUUUACUUCUCUCCAGCAGCAGGUUCUUAAAUCCAAGGAUGGGCACUGCAUGCUGUGGGGUGUGCAGGCUUUUAUCCGACCUCCUGAGCAGGAUAUACUGGUAUCUGGUGUUGUUUCCCACUGGUCUCAUUGGAGCCUGAUCCCAGCUUUGUUUCUGCCCUGUGGUCGGCCAGGACCCGGUUCUCCAGACUGCUGUGAGUAGUAUGUGAUCACCGAGUUGGGGAUGUCUCAGUUUUGGGCUGCUCUCCUGUCCUUGCUGAGGCUUCUUUAUGUGCAUUGUCUUCUCUAGGGAGGAGGUGAGGAAGAGUGCUGACAUGCUG